Molecule: unclassified non-coding RNA, 346 nt
Filed under: soil metagenome
Description: partial contains 5.8S ribosomal RNA, internal transcribed spacer 2, and large subunit ribosomal RNA
Rfam family: 5.8S ribosomal RNA (bases 1-120)
Source: RNAcentral
GAUGAAGAACGUAGUGAAAUGCGAUAAGUAAUGCGAAUUGCAGAAUUCCGUGAGUCAUCGAAUCUUUGAACGCACAUUGCGCCCCCUGGUAUUCCGGGGGGCAUGCCUGUCCGAGCGUCAUUGCUGCCCUCAAGCACGGCUUGUGUGUUGGGCCCCGUCCUCCGAUCCCGGGGGACGGGCCCGAAAGGCAGCGGCGGCACCGCGUCCGGUCCUCGAGCGUAUGGGGCUUUGUCACCCGCUCUGUAGGCCCGGCCGGCGCUUGCCGAUCAACCCAAAUUUUUAUCCAGGUUGACCUCGGAUCAGGUAGGGAUACCCGCUGAACUUAAGCAUAUCAAUAAGCGGAGGA